AUACGGAGGGUGCAAGCGUUAUUCGGAAUCACUGGGCGUAAAGGACGCGUAGGCGGGUUGGCAAGUCAAAUGUGAAAUCCUACAGCUUAACUGUAGAACUGCAUUUGAAACUGCUAACCUAGAGUAUGGGAGGGGGAGAUGGAAUUAGUGGUGUAGGGGUAAAAUCCGUAGAUAUCACUAGGAAUACCGAAAGCGAAGGCGAUCUCCUGGAACAUAACUGACGCUAAGGCGUGAAAGCGUGGGGAGCAAACAGGAUUAGAAACCCCGGUAGUCC
Molecule: ribosomal RNA, 274 nt
Filed under: uncultured bacterium
Lineage: Bacteria
Description: partial 16S ribosomal RNA
Rfam family: Bacterial small subunit ribosomal RNA
Source: RNAcentral